Molecule: transfer RNA, 64 nt
Filed under: Sermylassa halensis
Lineage: Eukaryota; Metazoa; Arthropoda; Insecta; Coleoptera; Chrysomelidae
Description: tRNA-Pro
Source: RNAcentral
CAGAUAUUAGUUUAAAUAAAAUAUUAAUUUUGGAGAUUAAUGAAAAAGAUUUUUUUAUAUCUGA